UUCGUCGAGGGGCGCUGCGACCGUGGAUAGGCACGGCCAGGCUCGACGAGGUGCACCAAGCAACGGCGCCCGCUCGAU
RNAcentral lists this non-coding RNA (78 nucleotides) under Noviluteimonas dokdonensis. Its description in RNAcentral is "Lysobacter dokdonensis SAH sequence". It matches the Rfam family "SAH (S-adenosyl-L-homocysteine) riboswitch aptamer". Lineage: Bacteria; Pseudomonadati; Pseudomonadota; Gammaproteobacteria; Lysobacterales; Lysobacteraceae. The record is from RNAcentral. RNAcentral also lists the same sequence under 1 other name.